UACGUAGGGGGCAAGCGUUGUCCGGAAUCAUUGGGCGUAAAGAGCGUGUAGGCGGCCUGGUAAGUCCGCUGUGAAAGUCCAGGGCUCAACCCUGGAAUGCCGGCGGAAACUGUCAGGCUCGAGUCCGGAAGAGGCGAGUGGAAUUCCUGGUGUAGCGGUGAAAUGCGCAGAUAUCAGGAGGAACACCAAUGGCGAAGGCAGCUCGCUGGGACGGUACUGACGCUGAGACGCGAAAGCGUGGGGAGCAAACAGG
Molecule: ribosomal RNA, 253 nt
Filed under: uncultured bacterium
Lineage: Bacteria
Description: partial 16S ribosomal RNA
Rfam family: Bacterial small subunit ribosomal RNA
Source: RNAcentral